This 497-nucleotide ribosomal RNA is filed under the name uncultured bacterium. RNAcentral describes it as "partial 16S ribosomal RNA". It matches the Rfam family "Bacterial small subunit ribosomal RNA", at positions 28 to 507 of the family's 1533-position model. The record is from RNAcentral.
GACGAACGCUGGCGGCGUGCCUAAUACAUGCAAGUAGAACGCUGAAGAGAGGAGCUUACUCUUCUUGGAUGAGUUGCGAACGGGUGAGUAACGCGUAGGUAACCUGCCUUGUAGCGGGGGAUAACUAUUGGAAACGAUAGCUAAUACCGCAUAACAAUGGAUUACACAUGUCAUUUAUUUGAAAGGGGCAAUUGCUCCACUACAAGAUGGACCUGCGUUGUAUUAGCUAGUAGGUGAGGUAAUGGCUCACCUAGGCGACGAUACAUAGCCGACCUGAGAGGGUGAUCGGCCACACUGGGACUGAGACACGGCCCAGACUCCUACGGGAGGCAGCAGUAGGGAAUCUUCGGCAAUGGGGGCAACCCUGACCGAGCAACGCCGCGUGAGUGAAGAAGGUUUUCGGAUCGUAAAGCUCUGUUGUAAGUCAAGAACGGGUGUGAGAGUGGAAAGUUCACACUGUGACGGUAGCUGACCAGAAAGGGACGGCUAACUACGUG